This 468-nucleotide ribosomal RNA is filed under the name uncultured bacterium. RNAcentral's name for it is "partial 16S ribosomal RNA". It matches the Rfam family "Bacterial small subunit ribosomal RNA", at positions 28 to 507 of the family's 1533-position model. The record is from RNAcentral.
GACGAACGCUGGCGGCGUGCUUAACACAUGCAAGUCGAACGGAAAGGCCCUGCUUUUGUGGGGUGCUCGAGUGGCGAACGGGUGAGUAACACGUGAGUAACCUGCCCUUGACAUUGGGAUAACUUCAGGAAACUGGGGCUCAUACCGGAUAGGAGCUCCUGCUGCAUGGUGGGGGUUGGAAAGUUUCGGCGGUUUGGGCUGGACUCGCGGCUUAUCAGCUUGUUUGUGGGGUAGUGGCUUACAAAGGCUUUGACGGGUAGCCGGCCUGAGAGGUUGACCGGCCACCUUGGGCCUGCGGUACGGCCCAGACUCCUACGGGAGGCAGCAGGGGGGAAUAUUGCACAAUGGGCGGAAGCCUGAUGCGGCAACGCCGCGUGCGUGAUGACGGCCUUCGGGUUGUAAACCGCUUUCGCCUGUGCCGAAGCGUGAGUGACGGUAAUGGGUAAAGAAGCACCGGCUAACUACGUG